CUCAGGUACAAAGCCGAGAAGUGUGAAGUAACGUUUCUGAACGAGUUGAUUGGACAAAUGAACAAUUUCACUCAUACCCCAGUGACUCCCUUAAAAUCUGAUAACUUUUUUUGAAAAAAAGACUAACGAUUGGACUUUGGUCCCGUUUUGUAUUGUUAAUGUUUGACCUCUAAGGAUCCGACAGGCUGUAAGAAAUCUGAAUAAUUUCUUGCCGUGCUACGACUUUUGUUUCGUGGCCAUUUGAAGAAUUCUCUGAGUGAAAAUGAACACUUUGGCAAUGCGCAGUGGUUGCUUUAUAGCAAGGUGGACAUCUAAUAAAGCAACAACACUGUACCACUACUCACGGAAAAUUGGGGAGACAGCUGUAGUUUAUCGGGAUGGGGAGAAAGGUGCCCCGGAUGCUUAAACGCCCCUGCAUUUCUCCUUAAUCUGACCACACCUUCUCUCAAAGGAAUGUGCUUCACUUGUGAAUGUGGUCACUUGAUACACUGCUACUCAGUUCUGCAGUUUGACUAGUGAAAACUGAUUAGUUGGGCUCGGAUUUCCCUAAAAAAAAAUCACUGGGGUUUUGAACAGCCGGAAGUCUUUCAUGGAGUUGUGACACAGCCUCGCUUGGAUUCCGUGAUUUAAUUUGUUUUCAACACGAAAAAAUGUUUGUUAUUAGUUGGUUAUUGGAUAGUUGAAAUCACCAAUAUUUCCAACCAAACUUUCUUGUGAAAUUCCUAUUUGAUAUAAUUUUGAAGUUUUUUUUUUGCUCUCUUGUCAAACUCAUUACUGAAGACUACCCUGUCCAAAACGAAUCCCUUGAUGUUCCGGCCUCCGAGUGCCGCAGUGAUUCCACUCAUUUGCUGAUGUGCACUUUCCUGAUCCUAAUCUCGACCUCGUGGUAGAAGAGUGCAACUGCAGGCAAGGAUGCCCGGAGGCAUGGUAACAUUGGGGAAACCGAGCAAAGGCUGUGACAACAGAUGAAUGGGCACCACACAACAAUCAACAGACAGGAGGGUUCCCUCCCAGUUGGGGAACACUUCAGUGGUCCAGGACAUUCAGCCUCGGACCUUCGGGUGACUAUCCUCCAAGGUGGACUUCGGGACAGGCAGCAGAGAAAAGUGGCUGAGCAGAGGCUGAUAGCUAAGUUCAGUACCCAUAGGGAGGUCUGCAACCAGGACCUUGGGUUCAUGUCGCAAUACAGGUGACCACCAUUGCACUAUACACACACACAGAUACUCCUACACACAGGCACUCCUAUACACAUAUACACACGGACACACAUACACCCAGACGCGCACACAGACACCCACACACACCCUUGCAGACACACACACUCCCACAAUCUCACAUGGACCCCCUCACAGACUUAAGACACUCUGCACUCACUACACACACACGCAUACACUUUCUCACACUCACAACCCCCAACCCAGACAGACAGACAGACACACAGACAAAGACCCACAUGUGCACAUAUAUUUUGUGUGGUGAAUUUUUAUUGCAGAGUUACAUUGCACUUUGCUCAAAAACUGCAUGCAUUCAUGUUGAACUCUGAGCUCAAAAACUGCAUGAAUUUAUGUAGAACUCCAUUAUCUCACUUUUUAGAUUAGAAUCAAUCUAAACAUCAUGGCAUAGACAGAGAACACAGGGGGCUAACACCUUCAACAUAUUGUCUAGCUAUCACCAUUGUUAACAGCUUAAAAAGAAGUUUUUGUCAUUUACACAUGAAAGAAGUGAAACUAUCACUGUAUAGUAACAGAUGAAAGGCUUAACAGACAAUCAAUUUUCCAAUGUAUAAUUUCAGUUACAUCACACUGUAAAUUUUUGCUAUAAAUUCUGUGUGUUAGGAUUGAGCCCUCCACUAUCACCUGAUGAAGGAGCAUCGCUCUGAAAGCUAGUGUGCUUCCAAUUAAACCUGUUGGACUAUAA
Hemiscyllium ocellatum (epaulette shark) is the source of this 1917-nucleotide long non-coding RNA. RefSeq lists it as uncharacterized. NCBI's taxonomy places the organism in Eukaryota, Metazoa, Chordata, Chondrichthyes, Orectolobiformes, Hemiscylliidae. The transcript has 2 exons. The record is from RefSeq and is a predicted model, not a curated record.